GGACUAACGCUGGCGGCGUGCUUAACACAUGCAAGUCGAACGAGAAAAUGGUAGCAAUAUCAUGAGUAAAGUGGCGAACGGGUGAGGAACACGUAACCAAUCUGCCCUGAAGAGGGGGACAACUGAGGGAAACCUUAGCUAACCCCCAUAAUAUGGUGCCUAUCGCAUAGAGAACACCAAUUUAAAAAUUUAAUUGCUUCGGGAAGAGGUUGCGUCUGAUUAGCUAGUUGGCGAGGUAANGGCUCACCAAGGCGACGAUCAGUAGCUGGUCUGAGAGGAUGAUCAGCCACACUGGGACUGAGAUACGG
Molecule: ribosomal RNA, 308 nt
Filed under: uncultured bacterium
Lineage: Bacteria
Description: bacterial SSU rRNA
Rfam family: Bacterial small subunit ribosomal RNA
Source: RNAcentral